AGGUUUUGGACUUUGUGCAACGCUGCUGAGUUGGAUUAUGUAUCCUGCAGUUUUACCAUGCACAAUAAGGAGACAUACAGCAUUAAAUUAAAGUCACUUAUAUUGAUUUCCACCAAUUUCCGAAUACUUCUCAAUAAAUAAAUCUUGAACAUGAUACAAACAGACGGACAAAAUCUGCAAUGUUUGACGACAUGGCAAAGAUCAGGCGAGACGAUCUUUAAUUAAGCUUUAUCACGGCUAAUACAGUCAACUGCAUAUGAACGUCGAUUACAAGUUAAGCAAUACACGAAGAUGAAACGAAAAAUCAAAUUCAAAAUUAAGAAACAUAUUUUCCUUACAAGUAACAAGUUACUUCUUCACAUUUCUUCUCGUAUUUAAAAAUGUUUAGUCAAACUGAAAAGACGUAAAAGAAAAAAAUUGAAGCCCUUACCAAAACACUUCUCGUUGUAAAUGGGAUUCGCUUGAGUUCCUUAACUUAUUUGCCGAGAAGAUUGAGUGUAAAAUAUAUAUCACAAUCUGAUUAUUGAAGAAAAGACUUCUAAUUUGAUGCGUUUGCACUAAAAAGAAUGAGAAGUAUAACGAAUAAUUGCAUAGAAAGAAUCAAGAAAAAAAUUUAAACCUGGACAGUUUUCUGUUUUGAGUUUAUAAUUAAACUGGACUAUUAUAUCAAGGUAACUAGGAAAUGUCCGUACCCCCAAACUAUGGACUGUUUUCUUGCCAUACGUCGUAAUCUAAGUUAAAGCACUUACAACAAGAAGCCGUUGUUUAUCAUUGAAUUACUUGGGAGUAAAAAAGAAAGUGAAUAUCUUCAUAUAUUAUCGGUGUAAUUCAUGUAUGGAAGUAGAAACAGGGGACAUUUUGGCGGCAAAAUAAUGGUGGAAUGAGAUAGAAGUACGCAGGCGAUCUUUUACACAGGAGACAGAAAAUAAAAAAGUUGAAAGGUUAUCUUGUAACCAUGCUGGUAUUUGAUUAAAUAGAAUGAAUCGAUUCUUAGAAGCUAUUGGUGGGAAUAAACUUAUUUAUAACUGAUAACUCUGGCAAAAUAAUUUAACGAAAAUAUAUUUAACACUCCCUUAUGUCUUCCAAAAUAUUUCGUUCAUAUCCGGUUGCUUCAUAUACAUUUUUCUAUGUUUAAAUUAUACUAGUUCUAUACUAUACUAUAUAUAUAUGUGUAUUAUAUAAUUCAUUAUCGAAAAGAAAUAUACGAACAAAGAAUACGAUACACCACCGACGCUUCUUUUGUAUUACAAGAUUCUCUAAGAACUGUUUGGAGUAUUUUUCUGUUCUUGAUCCACGGAUUUAAUAUUUAACAACCGACUGUGAUAAAGCUGUGUUUUGACUUGUUUUCCAGGCAUAUUUCAUAAUAUUUUACAAGAUUUGUGAUAUAUUGAUAUUGGUUUAAAUAAGAACAAAAUGAAUUAAAAUUGCCUUUCCAGCACAAACAUACAUGAGAUAUGAAAAUCUGCCUUCGGUCAUCUUUUAAAAGCUGAGAGUUUUAACAAACCCCAAACGAAUUGAUGGAUGAUGCCGAUGUGAAUAUUAUCAUUAUUAUAUAUUACUAGAUCAGUGAAUGCAUUUUACUUGGUGGGUUUCCAAUUCGGUUUCAACACACUAAAUUCAAACAUUUCCUUGAAUUUAAUUAUUUAUUAUGUAAGGACAGCAAUAAACCUGAAAGGCCGAGAGAAACGUGAAAGAGAAAGAGGAGGUCAAAAGAAAUAAAUAUAUUCGGUGAAAUAGUGAAAUAACUCUCGACUGUCGAAAAGUAAUUAAUUUAAAUGUUUCAUAUCUGCAAAUCACGGAUGAAGUUUGAGGAAUGUCUUGAAUAUUCGACAGGUGACAAACAAAAUCAAAUGCUUCAGAAUAUAAUUCAUUGUUAAUUUAUUUUAUAUUUUCAUGGACAGAUAAAUAUUUAACAAGUUUACGUUUCUUCAAAAAUUAUGUUAUAUUCAGGAAGAAGGAACAUUUUAAACUUUACCAAGAAUUUAAUAUAUUCAUCGAACAAGUGUUUCCGUUCAUAACCGCAAUGUCACUACACUCGUCAGAUUAUGAAAUAUAUUCAGUUAAAACUCGACAUGGAAGAUAAAAGCUAUUUAAAUGAUACACCAUUAUUAUUCCUUGUGUCUGGAGAGAAAAAUGGAUAAUAAUUUCAUUCAAUUUUUAAAAACAAAAAGAAUAGUUAUUAAUCAUUAGACGUAUUAAAUCUUCUCUUUGUUCACACAAUAAAUCCACCAUUAUUCUUAAUUAAAUAGAAGUCGAUAUUAAUCAAACCAUCGCUGAAACAUAUACAUAUAUAUAUAUAUAUAUAUAUAUAUAUAUAUAUAUAUAUAUAUAUAUAUAUAUAUUAUAUAUAUAUAUGUAUAUAUAUAUAUCUAUAUAGAAAUUACGAGAUGUAUCUAGAACGAAAAAAGAACCGGAGAUAUAGAUAAAAAGACAAUAUACUGAAUCAAGAAUCUCAUUGAAACAAAGUUAGAUUUUAUUUCCUACUACUGAAUGAAGUUGGAAUUUCAUUCAAUCGAUAUUUAAGGCGGGCACAACUUUGAACAACUUACACACGAAAGAUCCCGCCCCUCUGCCGCCUCCUUCUUUUUUAAAAAUUUUCUUUGGGUUUCUUAUCCCAAAUAUCAAAAUAUAAUCUUGUCAAAAUUUAUUCUUAAGGUUUCUAUUGAGAUAACUAUUACAGCAAUAAUAACACAACAACAACAACACGAUCAACAACAACAAUAAUAAUAAUAAUAUAAUAAUAAUAAUAAUAAUAAUAAAAGAGCUAACAUCUUGCCGAAUAUUCUCCGGAAAAGAGCAAAUAUACGAUACGAGAAUGAAACAGUUUGGGAGACAUCUCCUGAAUUUCGUGCAAUAAUCUGUUGUCGACAUUUCUAGAAUUUUCUGAAUAAUCGACCGACAAACAAUCGUA
Molecule: long non-coding RNA, 2911 nt
Organism: Octopus sinensis (East Asian common octopus)
Lineage: Eukaryota; Metazoa; Mollusca; Cephalopoda; Octopoda; Octopodidae
Exons: 3
Source: RefSeq, a predicted model, not a curated record